UACAGAGACUGCAAGCGUUAUUCGGAUUCACUGGGCGUAAAGGGUGCGCAGGUGGCCAGGUGUGUGAGGCGUGAAAGCCCGGGGCUUAACCCCGGAAUUGCACCUCAAACUACUUGGCUAGAGCAUUGGAGAGGGGAGCAGAAUUCAUGGUGUAGCAGUGAAAUGCGUAGAGAUCGGGAGGAACACCAGAGGCGAAGGCGGCGACCUGGACAGGUACUGACACUCAACUACGAAAGCGCGGGGAGCAAACAGG
RNAcentral lists this ribosomal RNA (253 nucleotides) under uncultured bacterium. RNAcentral describes it as "partial 16S ribosomal RNA". It matches the Rfam family "Bacterial small subunit ribosomal RNA", at positions 524 to 776 of the family's 1533-position model. The record is from RNAcentral.